This 621-nucleotide ribosomal RNA is filed under the name uncultured bacterium. Its description in RNAcentral is "bacterial SSU rRNA". It matches the Rfam family "Bacterial small subunit ribosomal RNA", at positions 223 to 859 of the family's 1533-position model. The record is from RNAcentral.
GGAUGGACUCGCGGCUUAUCAGCUUGUUGGUGGGGUAGUGGCUUACCAAGGCUUUGACGGGUAGCCGGCCUGAGAGGGUGACCGGCCACAUUGGGACUGAGAUACGGCCCAGACUCCUACGGGAGGCAGCAGUGGGGGAUAUUGCACAAUGGGCGGAAGCCUGAUGCAGCAACGCCGCGUGCGGGAUGACGGCCUUCGGGUUGUAAACCGCUUUCGCCUGUGACGAAGCGUAAGUGACGGUAAUGGGUAAAGAAGCACCGGCUAACUACGUGCCAGCAGCCGCGGUGAUACGUAGGGUGCGAGCGUUGUCCGGAUUUAUUGGGCGUAAAGGGCUCGUAGUGGUUGAUCGCGUCGAAGUGUAAUCUUGGGGCUUAACCCCUGAGCGUGCUUUCAUACGGGUUGACUUGAGGAAGUAGGGGAGAAUGGAAUUCCUGCUGGAGCGGUGGAAUGCGCAGAUAUCAAGAGAACACCAGUGGCGAAGCCGGUCUCUGGGACCUUUCCUGACCCUGAGAGCGAAAGCGGUGGGUAGCGGAACAGGCUUAGCAUACCCUGCUAGUCCAUGCCUGUAAACGUGGUACUAGGUGUGGGUCCAUUCCACCGGUUCCGCGCCGUAGCUACGCU